This is a non-coding RNA of Paramuricea clavata, 700 nucleotides long. NCBI's taxonomy places the organism in Eukaryota, Metazoa, Cnidaria, Anthozoa, Malacalcyonacea, Plexauridae. The record is from the annotation of a GenBank genome assembly.
AGUCUCAUGGCUCGUUUGCGACGAUGCCAUGGGCGAGGUCAUGGGAUUGCACGCAGGCUACACACGUAAAAACGCACAAGUUGUGACAAACCUGCAGCAGACUUGUAGCAAUGCUGUUCCAACAACUUGUCAACAGGAUGUGUUCGCACUGCUUGUUCCCAGCUUAUUGACAAGUUGUCAACGGCUUGUUAACAACUUGCUACCAGGUUGUUGAGUUCAGCAGAUUUGUUACAAGUUGUUCCAAUAUGGUUGUUACAAGUGUUAUAGUUGUUACAACAAUUAUAAGUUGUUAGUGACAAGCUUGUAGCAACUUGAUAAAAUAACAACAUUGUUACAACUUGUUGCCAAGCUUGCUACGAGCCUGUUGUGGACACAUCUUGUUGACAAGUUGUGAGAUUUUUAAGUGUGUAGACAUGAUAGCGUGUGUGGUUAGUGGGGUUCAAGAUCAAAGUGAAAUAUGAGGAGAUCCCAUCAAAGACUGUGGUGUGAAAGGGAAUCCUACUCUGGUAUUCAAGCAUAAUGAAGAUGAUGAAUCGGACAUGUGUACGUCACUGUUGCGAAUCUCCCAAAGUAUUUUUAAAACGAUCGCAGAUUCUGUGUCAAAAUAUUGUUACAUCACUGGUUAAUUGUUACACGUGUUAAAUCAAAGUUAUAUCACUGAAUACAGUUCAGUCAGACUUGUCUAAUACAGACAUACAGG